Long non-coding RNA from Bombina bombina (fire-bellied toad), 256 nucleotides. RefSeq lists it as uncharacterized. NCBI's taxonomy places the organism in Eukaryota, Metazoa, Chordata, Amphibia, Anura, Bombinatoridae. The record is from RefSeq and is a predicted model, not a curated record. The transcript is spliced from 3 exons.
UUGUUAUCUCCGUUCUUGUGCAGUUGUCUGCUUCACUACCCGCACAAAGGAGGUUUGAAAGACAUGCAGAUGGUCUGUUUACCAGUGAAUUUAGCAAGAUUAAGAACGAUGUGGCUAUGAGAAGUUUACUCAAGUCACUUCUCAUUUCUAAACGCAGUGUUGAGGAGCCACAUUUCCUAAAUAUCAUCGAGGAGGAGGAACCAGGUUUUGAGAAAGUGUGCUUUGCCUGGCUGUACCAAAGCUUCUUAAAUGACAG